Amphiprion ocellaris (clown anemonefish) is the source of this 486-nucleotide long non-coding RNA. The record is from Ensembl. Lineage: Eukaryota; Metazoa; Chordata; Actinopteri; Pomacentridae.
AUUAGCACGUCUUUAGCACAACAGAAGGUUCGGUUGGCAGGAGUCUGAAGACUGGACGAGAUGGUGUCGCUUGAGCUCUAUGGAGAUUUAAUAAGAGACAUUACUGCUCAGAACCUCUCGCACGCGGACAUUUCCACGAAGUUAUCACAAUUAGGUGUGCAGCGAUGUUCUGAAAUGAGUGUCAGGAGAUUUUGUGCACAUCACAACAUUUCCAGGAGGGGACAUGUAUCCGACACACAAUUAGAAGUUGCUAUCAGCAGGGCAAUAAAUCAGACAGGGUCAACAUAUGAUGACCAGGUAUCUGUCUGCGAUGGGAGUGGUUGCUGGUGAACGCCGGAUAGGGAGGAUUUUGAGAACAACGCAUUGUCCUUAUCACGAAAUGCGCAAUCGUGACAAACAACCCCCUAGUCUCCAUGGCAACAGCAGUCCUUGAUGCCAGCUGCCUCCCUCAGCCAGACAAACUCAAACUGCUCAGGAGUGGUCCGA